This 73-nucleotide microRNA precursor is filed under the name Dracunculus medinensis (Guinea worm). RNAcentral's name for it is "mir-252 microRNA precursor family". It matches the Rfam family "mir-252 microRNA precursor family". Lineage: Eukaryota; Metazoa; Nematoda; Chromadorea; Rhabditida; Dracunculidae. The record is from Rfam by way of RNAcentral.
AUUGCAAACUAAGUAGUAGUGCCGCAGGUAACUUUGUAUGAGAUUACUUGCUCCCUGCUGCUUAAACUGAAAU